UAUCUCCAACCUUUUAUUAUCCAUGUCUCUGUUCCUAGGUAUUUGUGUGGAUAAUUGAAAAACGACAACAUAACAGAUUUCUUUCCUUGGGUCUUCAUUUCUCUCAGGGCAGAAAAGCUGCAAUAAAACAGGCAUCCUCCAUGCCACAGAGGACAAUUGUGUCUAUCAGAUUGUGCUUUUCAAAAUGUGACUGCUGGCAACACAUUAGGACUUCGUACUGUAAGAAAAAAAUAUGCAUCCUCUACUGGGGUAAGAACUAGGGCACGAAAGGUGAAAGUAAAUAAUCUGCUAUCUAUUCCCCACCAAUACAGACAAGUUAGAAUUUAUGUCAGUGUUAUACUAAAUAUAAUAUUAGCUGAGAAAUUAUCAAAGCCAGGUGACAAAUACCCAGGUUUAUUUUUUCUAUUUUCUCUAGU
RNAcentral lists this long non-coding RNA (416 nucleotides) under Dasypus novemcinctus (nine-banded armadillo). RNAcentral's name for it is "lncRNA (ENSDNOG00000050706.1)". The record is from RNAcentral. Lineage: Eukaryota; Metazoa; Chordata; Mammalia; Cingulata; Dasypodidae.